UGUAAUAGCUAACUUUACUUAAAAAUAAAUAGUGAUCAUAACUAGUUGCUCCAUAAUUUGUUGACUCUACUAGCUUACAAUAAGUUGACACAGCAUUUUGGUGAGGAGAGUAAUUAAACUUAUCAUACUUCAGUAACCUUUACUUGAGAAGUAUGAGUGUCUCCACACACUCCCAACAGUUGGUGGCGGUAAUGCACCAUGCUGGAUGCCAACCGCCAAUACAAAUCAACGAAGAAGAGAUUGCACAUGCGCAGUUCCUCCUGAGACGUUGGAUUUGAACCAUCACGCGGCAAAAGAACGUUUGUCUGGAUUUGGUUUGAAGCAUUAAUGCAGAGACUGCCAAGCAGGAAGUGCACUUCACGCUCCCGCUCAAGGUUCUGUCAGAGUUCUUUCGGUUAACCAGCAAAAACCUCAAAAUCGAGUUUUUCAAAGAACUGGACAAAUACACUCCUCGCUGUCUUGACAUUUUCAAGUCCAAGGGUGGAUGUACCGGCCAGAUACUUAAGGCAUAUUUGCAUCAUCAAAUCGCACUGGGGAAUACAGAUGUUACUGCUAAGUGAACAGCAGUCCUCCGUGGCCUUCCCAUCCUCCUUGGAGAUGAGAACAAAGACU
Non-coding RNA from Paramisgurnus dabryanus, 612 nucleotides. NCBI's taxonomy places the organism in Eukaryota, Metazoa, Chordata, Actinopteri, Cypriniformes, Cobitidae. The record is from RefSeq and is a predicted model, not a curated record.